UGCGCGAGAGGAAUAUCACCAUCCGAAAUGCCAGUGGAAGAAUCAUUGAAAGAAAUGACGAUCCUAUUGACGUUGUAGACGCAACGACACUAAUGGUCUUUCAUGACUUGGGUAUACUAGGAGCAAGAAUGGAUGAGAAAAAAGGAAUAAAUGGAAUCAUUUUAUCAAAUUUCCAACUUUGUUUACCAUGGUCGCGCGAGGUAAAAAAAGUUGCCCUCUGCUGUGGACUAGUUGUACAUCCCCUCCUCUCCUGAUUUCGAGCACCUGAAUUCUUUUGUAGGGGGUUACACCACAGAUGGGCCCCCCAGAUGACAUUCGUUUUGACCUUCCGCCUAAGAACCUGUCUAGGCUAAAAAUAGGUUCUUAUUACCAGUUUAUGUUUGUAUUCUUAAUACCGCAAAAAUCUCAAAAUACUAAAAUUUACCGAUUUCAUUAACAGGGCGGACACUACCAGGCCACCUUUUCCGACCUUUGUUUGGUAGUGUUGUGCCCAACCCUUGCUGGAGACCCAGAAGUAAGGGCCACUAUUGACUUAAGCAAUGUUACCCAGGAUCGCAUACAAGCUGCUGUAGCAGAGGCUGAGGCGAGACUGGCCCUUACAACCGAAUCAAUGUGAGUUUUGUUGAUUGUCUUGAAUCACCAUCACCAUCC
Molecule: long non-coding RNA, 651 nt
Organism: Nematostella vectensis (starlet sea anemone)
Lineage: Eukaryota; Metazoa; Cnidaria; Anthozoa; Actiniaria; Edwardsiidae
Exons: 2
Source: RefSeq, a predicted model, not a curated record